GCUGGCUGCCACAAAGGAAGGGUCUCUACCUGCAGGUCCCUCUUUGUGGAGUAUUUGGUGAGCCUUCCUCCUUGGGAUGGGCAAUUCUGUAGAGGUUCUCUGGGCCAGCAUCGCAACUUUCAGAGUCAUUGCUUGUACUUUUUGCCUCAACUAUCGCAUCCUCUCUAAGGAGAACCUAAAGGUAAUUCAGAGCUCUUCCUGGCUCACCGCCGUGGGGCACUGCUAAGCAGGAGGAGCCCUUGCACCAUCAAGAGAGAAAGGAGGCCAACAUCUGGGCAUCAACCCCAAAUUCCUACAAGGCCAUGGAAGACAUAUCAACAUUUGGCUUUCUUGCGAAUCAGUGCAGAGCCCUGAAAGCCCUCAGAGGCAGCUGAGGCACGUUUUGGGCUCUGCUGAAACCCUUCCACCAGCUGAACUCAGACCAGGCUUUUGUUCUGUUCUCAGGCUGGCUGCAGCUGUUUCUCUGAGCAUGCUGCCAGCUCCUCUGACAAUGCUUUCAGUUGGGCUCUUCAGAGUUCCCUGUGACCGCAUUAAUGAAAAUGUCGGACCUUGGGGUGUGCAAUCUACCCAGAAGCCGAUCAGAGCUGUACCAAUAGCUGCAGCUGGGAUGAGCAGGAAAGUGCAUUGUAUUCUGGCCCCAGGAAUCUGAACAGAACUAUCUCUGCCAAGGAAGAAAAGUCAGCUUCAGUCUGUCCUUUCCUGGAGACCCUCUGGCUCUCUUGCUGUAGAAAUGCAAAUGUGGUCGGAUAGUUUUGUCACUAAAUCACUUGAAUGCGGGGCUAAAGAAGUGGGUUACGUCCCAAUGCAUCUGGCUUAAUCAUGUGUUAAAUUGCUAAUAAUCCCACUGUGCCUCCCUUUGGUGUUAGAGAAGAUCAGGCAAUUAAUAUUUG
Meleagris gallopavo (turkey) is the source of this 890-nucleotide non-coding RNA. The record is from RefSeq and is a predicted model, not a curated record. Lineage: Eukaryota; Metazoa; Chordata; Aves; Galliformes; Phasianidae.